Molecule: microRNA precursor, 174 nt
Filed under: Brachypodium distachyon (stiff brome)
Lineage: Eukaryota; Viridiplantae; Streptophyta; Magnoliopsida; Poales; Poaceae
Description: miR167g stem-loop (bdi-MIR167g)
Gene: bdi-MIR167g
Rfam family: MIR167 microRNA precursor family (bases 7-162)
Source: miRBase by way of RNAcentral
CUUGUGCGCCACAAGUAGAUGAAGCUGCCAGCAUGAUCUGAACUCCACGCACCACAUGUGUAUCUUGGUGCUGUGUACUCGAUCUUCAGAUUGAUUACAUGCACGCAUGAGAAACUGUGCAGGCGAUCUGCAGAUCAUCUGGCAGCUUCAUUUUCUCAUGGCAGCACACCGGCC